GAUGAACGCUGGCGGCGUGCCUAAUACAUGCAAGUCGAGCGAACAGACGAGGAGCUUGCUCCUCUGACGUUAGCGGCGGACGGGUGAGUAACACGUGGAUAACCUACCUAUAAGACUGGGAUAACUUCGGGAAACCGGAGCUAAUACCGGAUAAUAUAUUGAACCGCAUGGUUCAAUAGAGAAAGACGGUUUUGCUGUCACUUAUAGAUGGAUCCGCGCCGCAUUAGCUAGUUGGUAAGGUAACGGGUUACCAAGGCAACGAUGCGUAGCCGAGCGGAGAGGGUGAUAGGCCACCUUGGAACUGGGACACGGUCCAGACUCCUAAGGGAGGCAGCAGUAGGGAAUCGUACGCAAUGGGCGAAAGCCUGACGGAGCAGCGCCGCGUGAGUGAUGAAGGUCUUCGGAUCGUAAAACUCUGUUAUUAGGGAAGAACAAAUGUGUAAGUAACUAUGCACGUCUUGACGGUACCUAGUCAGAAAGCCACGGCUAACUACGUG
RNAcentral lists this ribosomal RNA (497 nucleotides) under uncultured bacterium. Its description in RNAcentral is "partial 16S ribosomal RNA". It matches the Rfam family "Bacterial small subunit ribosomal RNA", at positions 28 to 507 of the family's 1533-position model. The record is from RNAcentral.